UACGUAGGGACCAAGCGUUGUUCGGAUUUACUGGGCGUAAAGGGCGCGUAGGCGGCAUGACAAGUCACUUGUGAAAUCUCCGGGCUUAACUCGGAACGGCCAAGUGAUACUGUCGCGCUAGAGUGCGGAAGGGGCAAUCGGAAUUCUUGGUGUAGCGGUGAAAUGCGUAGAUAUCAAGAGGAACACCUGAGGUGAAGACGGGUUGCUGGGCCGACACUGACGCUGAGUGCGCGAAAGCCAGGGGAGCAAACGGG
Molecule: ribosomal RNA, 254 nt
Filed under: uncultured bacterium
Lineage: Bacteria
Description: partial 16S ribosomal RNA
Rfam family: Bacterial small subunit ribosomal RNA
Source: RNAcentral